UACGAGAGGUGCAAGUUUAUAGCGUGAGGAGUAGGCAUGCAAGUGUAGACGUUUAUAUAGUUAUGUGAGAUUUUUUUUAUAUUGAAGUUUUAGUUUUUAUUCCUAGUACAGCAGUUUAAAAUGCGUCAAGUUUUAGGAGGACAGCCAUUGGCGAAAGCAACUUUACAUACAUUCAACUUAAGUUCAAACUUGUAAGUCCAGGGAUCAAAUAGG
Molecule: ribosomal RNA, 213 nt
Filed under: uncultured bacterium
Lineage: Bacteria
Description: partial 16S ribosomal RNA
Source: RNAcentral